UGUAAACUUCUUUUAUAAAAGAAUAAAGUCAGAUAUGCAUACCCGUUUGCAUGUACUUUAUGAAUAACGAUCGGCUAACUCCCUGCCAACAACCGCGGUAAUACGGAUGAUCCGAACGUUAUCCGGAUUUAUUGAGUUUAAACGGAUCGUAGAUGGAUGUUUAAAUCACUUGUGAUCGUUUGCGGCUCAGCCGUAAAAUUGCAGUUGAUACUGUAUAUCAUAAGUGCAUGUAAUGCAUGCUGAAUUCGUGAUGUAGCGGAGAAAUGCUAAGAUAUCACGAAGAACUCCGAUUGCCAAGGACGACUGCUAAGCUGCAACUGACAUUGAGGCUCGAAAGUGUGGGUAUCAAACAGGAGUAGAUACCGUGGUAGUCCACACGUUAAUGUAUGAAUACUAAGUGUUUGGGAUAUACAGCAAGCGGACAAGCGAAAGCGUUAAGUAUUUCAGUUGGGGAGUAUGCAGGUAACGGUAAAAGUCAAAGGAAUGGACGAGGGGCCGCACAAGUGGAGGAACAUGUGGUAUAAUUAGGUGCUACGCGAGGUACCUUCAUCGGGAUUAAAUUGUAGAAGAAGUAGGGUGUAAUCGGUAAGUCGCAAGGCAUCUGUGAAGGUGUGUCAUGAUUGUGGUUAGCUAGAGCCGGGAGGAGUUGGCGUAAGUACCAUAACGAGCGUAAUCAUUGUUGUCAGUUAAUAACAGGCUCUGUGGAGGGAUUUGACAAGAUAGCCAUGGUAAGAUGGGAGGAAGGUGGGGAUGAUGUCAAAUCAGCACGGCCCGGUACGUCAGGGGGUACACAAUUGUUACAAUGGGGGGUACAGAGGGCGGAUGCCAGGGGAGUGGAUAACAAUCCCCAAAACCUUUGUCAGUUAGUAUGGGAGUCGGCAACCCGAAUCCAGGAAGGUGGAUUAUCUAGUAUUAGAGCAUCAGGCAGGGUGCGGUGAAUAGUUUCCCGCGGCCUUGUACACCCCGCCAGUCAAGUCAGGGGAGCCGGGGGUACGUGAAGCGAGUAAACGGGAGGAGCGCCCUAGGGUAAAACUGGUGACUGGGGUU
This 1047-nucleotide ribosomal RNA is filed under the name uncultured organism. RNAcentral's name for it is "SSU rRNA". It matches the Rfam family "Bacterial small subunit ribosomal RNA", at positions 424 to 1482 of the family's 1533-position model. The record is from RNAcentral.